AGUGAACGCUGGCGGUAGGCCUAACACAUGCAAGUCGAACGGCAGCACAGUAAGAGCUUGCUCUUACGGGUGGCGAGUGGCGGACGGGUGAGGAAUACAUCGGAAUCUACUUUUUCGUGGGGGAUAACGUAGGGAAACUUACGCUAAUACCGCAUACGACCUACGGGUGAAAGCAGGGGAUCUUCGGACCUUGCGCGAUUGAAUGAGCCGAUGUCGGAUUAGCUAGUUGGUGGGGUAAAGGCCCACCAAGGCGACGAUCCGUAGCUGGUCUGAGAGGAUGAUCAGCCACACUGGAACUGAGACACGGUCCAGACUCCUACGGGAGGCAGCAGUGGGGAAUAUUGGACAAUGGGCGCAAGCCUGACCCAGCCAUACCGCGUGGGUGAAGAAGGCCUUCGGGUUGUAAAACCCUUUUGUUGGGAAAGAAAAGCAGCAGGUUAAUACCCCGCUGUUCUGACGGUACCCAAAGAAUAAGCACCGGCUAACUUCGUG
This 492-nucleotide ribosomal RNA is filed under the name uncultured bacterium. RNAcentral's name for it is "partial 16S ribosomal RNA". It matches the Rfam family "Bacterial small subunit ribosomal RNA", at positions 29 to 507 of the family's 1533-position model. The record is from RNAcentral.